UCCAGACUCCUACGGGAGGCAGCAGUGGGGGAUAUUGCACAAUGGGGGGAACCCUGAUGCAGCGACGCCGCGUGGGUGAAGGAGCGUUUCGGCGCGUAAAGCCCUAUCGGCAGGGAAGAGGGAGGACGGUACCUGACUAAGAAGCCCCGGCUAACUACGUGCCAGCAGCCGCGGUAAUACGUAGGGGGCAAGCGUUAUCCGGAUUUACUGGGUGUAAAGGGGGCGCAGACGGCAGCGCAAGCCAGGAGUGAAAGCCCGGGGCCCAACCCCGGGACUGCUCUUGGAACUGCGCGGCUGGAGUGCAGGAGGGGCAGGCGGAAUUCCUGGUGUAGCGGUGAAAUGCGUAGAUAUCAGGAGGAACACCGGUGGCGAAGGCGGCCUGCUGGACUGCGACUGACGUUGAGGCCCGAAAGCGUGGGGAGCAAACAGGAUUAGAUACCCCCGUAGG
RNAcentral lists this ribosomal RNA (448 nucleotides) under uncultured bacterium. RNAcentral's name for it is "bacterial SSU rRNA". It matches the Rfam family "Bacterial small subunit ribosomal RNA", at positions 330 to 794 of the family's 1533-position model. The record is from RNAcentral.